Molecule: non-coding RNA, 30 nt
Filed under: Mus musculus (house mouse)
Lineage: Eukaryota; Metazoa; Chordata; Mammalia; Rodentia; Muridae
Source: RNAcentral
UGCUUGUACUGAAUUCUGAUAUGACUAAAG